GAUGAACGCUAGCGGCAGGCUUAAUACAUGCAAGUCGUGGGGCAGCAGGUUUGUAGCAAUACAGAUGCUGGCGACCGGCAAACGGGUGCGGAACACGUACAGAACCUUCCUUGAGCGGGGAAUAGCCCAGAGAAAUUUGGAUUAAUACCCCAUAGUAUAAUGAAGUGGCAUCACUUUAUUAUUAAAGAUUUAUCACUCGAAGAUGGCUGUGCGGCUGAUUAGGUAGUUGGCGGGUAAAGGCCCACCAAGCCUGCGAUCAGUAACUGGUGUGAGAGCACGACCAGUCACACGGGCACUGCGACACGGGCCCGACUCCUACGGGAGGCAGCAGUAAGGAAUAUUGGUCAAUGGAGGCAAACUCUGAACCAGCCAUGCCGCGUGGAGGAUGAAGGUCCUCUGGAUUGUAAAC
This 409-nucleotide ribosomal RNA is filed under the name uncultured bacterium. RNAcentral describes it as "bacterial SSU rRNA". It matches the Rfam family "Bacterial small subunit ribosomal RNA", at positions 28 to 430 of the family's 1533-position model. The record is from RNAcentral.